RNAcentral lists this ribosomal RNA (637 nucleotides) under uncultured fungus. Its description in RNAcentral is "eukaryotic LSU rRNA". It matches the Rfam family "Eukaryotic large subunit ribosomal RNA", at positions 24 to 664 of the family's 3401-position model. The record is from RNAcentral. Lineage: Eukaryota; Fungi.
CCCGCUGAACUUAAGCAUAUCAAUAAGCGGAGGAAAAGAAACUAACAAGGAUUCCCCUAGUAACUGCGAGUGAAGCGGGAAAAGCUCAAAUUUAAAAUCUGGCGGUCUUGCGGCCGUCCGAGUUGUAAUCUGGAGAAGCGUUUAUCCGCGUCGGACCGUGUACAAGUCUUCUGGAAGGGAGCGUCCUAAAGGGGGAGAAUCCCGUCUUUGACACGGACGACCGGGGCUUUUGUGAUGGGCUCUCGAAGAGUCGAGUUGUUUGGGAAUGCAGCUCAAAAUGGGUGGUAAAUUCCAUCUAAAGCUAAAUAUUGGCGAGAGACCGAUAGCGAACAAGUACCGUGAGGGAAAGAUGAAAAGCACUUUGGAAAGAGAGUUAAACAGUACGUGAAAUUGUUGAAAGGGAAACGUUUGAAGUCAGUCCCGUCAGCCGAAACUCAACCUUGCUUCUGCUCGGGGCCUUUCUCGGCUGACGGGUCAGCAUCAAUUUUGACCGCCGGAUAAAGGUCGGGGGAAUGUGGCAUCCUUCGGGAUGCGUUAUAGACCUCGAUUCGUAUACGGCGAUUGAGAUUGAGGAACUCGGCGCUUUGCGGCCAGGAUGCUGGCAUAAUGGCUUUUAGCGACCCGUCUUGAAACACGG